AUUUUCCGGUUGAUCCUGCCGGACCCGACUGCUAUCAGAGUGAGAUUAGCCAUGCGAGUCAACGUAGCAAUACGUGGCACACGGCUCAGUAACACGUAGUCAACAUAACCAGAGGACGUGGAUAAACUCGGGAAACUGAGGCUAAACCGCGAUAGACCAAGAUACCUGGAAUGGUUUUUGAUCAAAAUCUAUAUGGCCUUUGGAUUGGACUGCGACCGAUCAGGCUGUUGGUGAGGUAAUGGCCCACCAAACCUUUUACCGGUACGGGCUCUGAGAGGAGGAGCCCGGAGAUGGGUACUGAGAAAAGGACCCAGGCCCUAUGGGGCGCAGCAGGCGCGAAACCUCUGCAAUAGGCGAAAGCCUGACAGGGUUACUCUGAGUGACUUUCGCUAAGAAAGUCUUUUGACACCUCUAAAAAUGGUGUAGAAUAAGGGGUGGGCAAGUCUGGUGUCAGCCGCCGCGGUAAUACCAGCACCCCGAGUGGUCGGGACGAUUAUUGGGCCUAAAGCAUCCGUAGCCGGUUUACAAGUCCUCCGUUAAAUCCAACUGCUUAACAGAUGGGCCGCGGAGGAUACUAUAAGACUAGGAGGCAGGAGAAGCAAGCGGUACUCAGUGGGUAGGGGUAAAAUCCGUUGAUCCAU
RNAcentral lists this ribosomal RNA (641 nucleotides) under uncultured archaeon. RNAcentral describes it as "bacterial SSU rRNA". It matches the Rfam family "Archaeal small subunit ribosomal RNA", at positions 1 to 650 of the family's 1478-position model. The record is from RNAcentral.